RNAcentral lists this ribosomal RNA (305 nucleotides) under uncultured bacterium. RNAcentral describes it as "bacterial SSU rRNA". It matches the Rfam family "Bacterial small subunit ribosomal RNA", at positions 334 to 636 of the family's 1533-position model. The record is from RNAcentral.
AUAGCCUACGGGAGGCAGCAGUGAGGAAUAUUGGUCAAUGGCCGCAGGGCUGAACCAGCCAAGUCGCGUGAGGGAUGACGGUCCUAUGGAUUGUAAACCUCUUUUGUCAGGGAGCAAAGGGCGCCACGUGUGGCGCUUUGCGAGUACCUGAAGAAAAAGCAUCGGCUAACUCCGUGCCAGCAGCCGCGGUAAUACGGAGGAUGCGAGCGUUAUCCGGAUUUAUUGGGUUUAAAGGGAACGCAGGCGGUCUUUUAAGUCUGAUGUGAAAGCCUUCGGCUUAACCGGAGGAGUGCAUUGGAAACUGG